CGAGCCGGCCGGGCGGCCGCGUGACGCCUUCGGGCGUCCCGAGGAACGUCCGGGCUCCAUAGAGCAGGGUGGUGGGUAACGCCCACCCGGGGUGACCCGCGGGACAGUGCCACAGAGAACAGACCGCCCGUCCUCGGACGGGUAAGGGUGAAACGGUGGUGUAAGAGACCACCAGCGUGCCGGGUGACCGGUGCGGCUCGGUAAACCCCACCCGGAGCAAGACCAGACAGGAUGUGUUCGAGGGUUGCUCGCCCGAGCAUCCGGGUAGGUCGCUCGAGCCGUGCGGUGACGCACGGCCUAGAUGGAUGGCCGUCACCUGCACGAGGGCGACCUCGGCAGGCACAGAACCCGGCGUACAGGCCGGCUCGUCUG
Molecule: RNase P RNA, 372 nt
Filed under: Flavimobilis rhizosphaerae
Lineage: Bacteria; Bacillati; Actinomycetota; Actinomycetes; Micrococcales; Jonesiaceae
Description: RNase P RNA component class A
Rfam family: Bacterial RNase P class A
About the family: Ribonuclease P (RNase P) is a ubiquitous endoribonuclease, found in archaea, bacteria and eukarya as well as chloroplasts and mitochondria. Its best characterised activity is the generation of mature 5'-ends of tRNAs by cleaving the 5'-leader elements of precursor-tRNAs.
Source: RNAcentral